RNAcentral lists this ribosomal RNA (442 nucleotides) under uncultured bacterium. Its description in RNAcentral is "partial 16S ribosomal RNA". It matches the Rfam family "Bacterial small subunit ribosomal RNA", at positions 338 to 795 of the family's 1533-position model. The record is from RNAcentral.
CCUACGGGAGGCUGCAGUGGGGAAUAUUGGGCAAUGGGCGCAAGCCUGACCCAGCAAUGCCGCGUGAAGGAAGAAGGCUUUCGGGUUGUAAACUUCUUUGACAGGGGAAGAGCAGAAGACGGUACCCUGAAAACAAGCCACGACUCACUACGUGCCAGCAGCCGCGGUAAUACGUAGGUGGCAAGCGUUGUCCGGAUUUACUGGGUGUAAAGGGCGUGUAGCCGGGAAGGCAAGUCAGAUGUGAAAUCUGGAGGCUCAACCUCCAAAUUGCAUUUGAAACUGUUUUUCUUGAGUACUGGAGAGGCAGACGGAAUUCCUUGUGGAGCGGUGAAAUGCGUAGAUAUAAGGAGGAACACCAGUGGCGAAGGCGGUCUGCUGGACAGCAACUGACGGUGAGGCGCGAAAGCGUGGGGAGCAAACAGGAUUAGAUACCCUAGUAGUC